AUGCCUCCUGAGAGGAGCAGAAAGCAGAGGGAAAGGGACCUGUACACACUGUCAGCCUGCUGUGCAAGACACGCUAAAAUGAUGCCAGCGAGGCACUUCUGCAGAGGGGGUCUCAGCUCCAGCCUGGCCGAAGCAACAGAGAAGUUGUCUGGGAGAUAUUCUGUGGCCAGUGACUUUAGGCUCCUCCCUGCAUGGCAAGUGUGCACAAACAUCAUCUGACUGGUGGAUGCUGGGGGUAGCUGAACUGCUUUAUAGGAACUCUGCUGGGGAGUGUUCUGCGCACAUGCAAGGCUGUGUGAUAUCGGUACUUAGACUUGACUGCAAGCAAACCAGUUUCUUAAAACAGAGAAAUUUCUAAAUUCACAGAGCAAAAGGUCUGGCAAGUGAAGAACUAAAUGACAAAUACCAUAUCAGCUAAGCACAGAAGCAUUCCAUGUAAUAGAAGAUACCCACACUUUGAGACCAGAGACCAAUUUAACUCCUUAACCAUGCAGGAUGGCUAAACAUUUGUUACAUAACAGCAACUUCACAUGGCAUUUUUACAUCCUGCCAUCUUUUCACUGAAGAACAGAAGAUUAGACUUCUACCGACUCUGAGAGACGGGGAGUGGAGCCAGCAGCAAUAUUUAGCACAGAGUGACUGAUUUCUGGCACCAUCUAGCUUCUCUACAAGAGGAAUCUGGCAGCCUGGUAGGUGCUUUUCAAAGCCACUGAUUGAAUGGUUGAUACUAGUGCUAUACAAAGGCUCAAGACAGCACAGGAAAGAAUAAGAAAUAAAGUAGUUCUGGGGCUUAAGACCUACUAUUUU
RNAcentral lists this long non-coding RNA (807 nucleotides) under Cyanistes caeruleus (blue tit). RNAcentral describes it as "lncRNA (ENSCCEG00000000924.1)". The record is from RNAcentral. Lineage: Eukaryota; Metazoa; Chordata; Aves; Passeriformes; Paridae.